AGCGGCGGUGGCGGCGACGGCUGUUGCUGAGCCCCGGCAGCCGCGAGGACCCCGGGCUGGGGCCACGCGGGCCUGAGGCCUCGGCUCCAGCAGCCCCCAAGCGGACGCGAACCCGCGCUCUGUCUCCCAAGGCGAAGCUCCGAGAUGAAAAAAAAAAAGAAAGUCCGUUUCUUGUCAGUGAUGCACAGUCUCAGGUAUGGAUCUUUGGCGGGUGUUCUUAACCCUGGCACUGGCAGUCUCCAGCGACAUGUUUCCUGGAAGUGGGGCUACACCAGCUACUCUUGGCAAAGCUUCCCCGGUUCUGCAAAGAAUUAAUCCAAGCCUGAGGGAAAGUUCCUCUGGAAAGCCUCGAUUCACCAAGUGUCGUUCCCCUGAACUGGAGACCUUUUCAUGCUACUGGACAGAAGGGGAUGAUCAUAAUUUAAAGGUCCCGGGAUCUAUUCAGCUAUACUAUGCUAGAAGAAUUGCUCAUGAAUGGACCCCGGAAUGGAAAGAAUGCCCUGAUUAUGUCUCUGCUGGAGCAAACAGCUGUUACUUCAACUCAUCGUAUACCUCCAUUUGGAUACCCUACUGCAUUAAGCUUACUACAAAUGGUGAUUUGUUGGACGAAAAGUGUUUCACUGUUGAUGAAAUAGUGCAACCUGAUCCGCCCAUUGGCCUCAACUGGACUUUACUAAACAUCAGUUUGCCUGGGAUCCGUGGAGAUAUCCAAGUGAGUUGGCAGC
This 725-nucleotide long non-coding RNA is filed under the name Rattus norvegicus (Norway rat). Its description in RNAcentral is "long non-coding RNA NONRATT016144". Lineage: Eukaryota; Metazoa; Chordata; Mammalia; Rodentia; Muridae. The record is from RNAcentral.